GGAAUAUGAGGAGGAGAAGAAGAAAGAAGAGGCAAAUAGACAAAACAGCUAACAGCAAGAAAACAAUUGCAUAUGACCACCAUGGCUUUGAUAGGUGAGAUAUCAAGAAUUGAAUAUAUAAGGUGCCAGUCCAAAGAGAAAAGGCUGUUUCCGAGCAAAGAUACCACCAAAACCAGCAAUGGUUACCCUGUCCUACGCAUGAGCCAAGCCAAACACAGU
RNAcentral lists this unclassified non-coding RNA (219 nucleotides) under Hevea brasiliensis (rubber tree). The record is from RNAcentral. Lineage: Eukaryota; Viridiplantae; Streptophyta; Magnoliopsida; Malpighiales; Euphorbiaceae.